UACGUAGGGGGCGAGCGUUACCCGGAAUCACUGGGCGUAAAGGGAGCGUAGGUGGCGUAACAUGUCAACUGUGAAAACCCGGAGCUCAACUCCGGACUUGCAGUUGAAACUGGUAGGCUUGAGGACGGUAGAGGAAGACGGAACUGCCAGUGUAGGGGUAAAAUGCUUAGAUAUUGGCAGGAACGCCGGUGGCGAAGGUGGUUUUCUGGGCCGGUUCUGACACUGAUGCUCGAAAGCGAGGGGAGCGAACGGG
Molecule: ribosomal RNA, 253 nt
Filed under: uncultured prokaryote
Description: partial 16S ribosomal RNA
Rfam family: Bacterial small subunit ribosomal RNA
Source: RNAcentral